This 1221-nucleotide ribosomal RNA is filed under the name Bradyrhizobium sp. WBAH39. RNAcentral describes it as "bacterial SSU rRNA". It matches the Rfam family "Bacterial small subunit ribosomal RNA", at positions 94 to 1356 of the family's 1533-position model. Lineage: Bacteria; Pseudomonadati; Pseudomonadota; Alphaproteobacteria; Hyphomicrobiales; Nitrobacteraceae. The record is from RNAcentral.
CGGGGGGAAGGGGUGAGUACGCGUGGGACGUACCUUUUGGUUCGGAACAACACAGGGAAACUUGUGCUAAUACCGGAUAAGCCCUUACGGGGAAAGAUUUAUCGCCGAAAGAUCGGCCCGCGUCUGAUUAGCUAGUUGGUGAGGUAAUGGCUCACCAAGGCGACGAUCAGUAGCUGGUCUGAGAGGAUGAUCAGCCACAUUGGGACUGAGACACGGCCCAAACUCCUACGGGAGGCAGCAGUGGGGAAUAUUGGACAAUGGGGGCAACCCUGAUCCAGCCAUGCCGCGUGAGUGAUGAAGGCCCUAGGGUUGUAAAGCUCUUUUGUGCGGGAAGAUAAUGACGGUACCGCAAGAAUAAGCCCCGGCUAACUUCGUGCCAGCAGCCGCGGUAAUACGAAGGGGGCUAGCGUUGCUCGGAAUCACUGGGCGUAAAGGGUGCGUAGGCGGGUCUUUAAGUCAGGGGUGAAAUCCUGGAGCUCAACUCCAGAACUGCCUUUGAUACUGAAGAUCUUGAGUCCGGGAGAGGUGAGUGGAACUGCGAGUGUAGAGGUGAAAUUCGUAGAUAUUCGCAAGAACACCAGUGGCGAAGGCGGCUCACUGGCCCGGUACUGACGUGAGCACGAAAGCGUGGGGAGCAAACAGGAUUAGAUACCYUGGUAGUCACGCCGUAAACGAUGAAUGCCAGCCGUUAGUGGGUUUACUCACAAGUGGCGCAGCUAACGCUUUAAGCAUUCCGCCUGGGGAGUACGGUCGCAAGAUUAAAACUCAAAGGAAUUGACGGGGGCCCGCACAAGCGGUGGAGCAUGUGGUUUAAUUCGACGCAACGCGCAGAACCUUACCAGCCCUUGACAUGUCCAGGACCGGUCGCAGAGAUGUGACCCUCUCUUCGGAGCCUGGAGCACAGGUGCUGCAUGGCUGUCGUCAGCUCGUGUCGUGAGAUGUUGGGUUAAGUCCCGCAACGAGCGCAACCCCCGUCCUUAGUUGCUACCAUUUAGUUGAGCACUCUAAGGAGACUGCCGGUGAUAAGCCGCGAGGAAGGUGGGGAUGACGUCAAGUCCUCAUGGCCCUUACGGGCUGGGCUACACACGUGCUACAAUGGCGGUGACAAUGGGAUGCUAAGGGGCGACCCUUCGCAAAUCUCAAAAAGCCGUCUCAGUUCGGAUUGGGCUCUGCAACUCGAGCCCAUGAAGUUGGAAUCGCUAGUAAUCGUGGAUCAGCACG